GACGAACGCUGGCGGCGUGCUUAACACAUGCAAGUCGAACGGAAAGGCCCUGCUUUUGUGGGGUGCUCGAGUGGCGAACGGGUGAGUAACACGUGAGUAACCUGCCCUUGACUUUGGGAUAACUUCAGGAAACUGGGGCUAAUACCGGAUAGGAGCUCCUGCUGCAUGGUGGGGGGUGGAAAGUUUCGGCGGUUGGGGAUGGACUCGCGGGUUAUCAGCUUGUUGGUGGGGUAGUGGCUUACCAAGGCUUUGACGGGUAGCCGGCCUGAGAGGGUGACCGGCCACAUUGGGACUGAGAUACGGCCCAGACUCCUACGGGAGGCAGCAGUGGGGAAUUUUGCACAAUGGGCGGAAGCCUGAUGCAGCAACGCCGCGUGCGGGAUGACGGCCUUCGGGUUGUAAACCGCUUUCGCCUGUGACGAAGCGUGAGUGACGGUAAUGGGUAAAGAAGCACCGGCUAACUACGUG
RNAcentral lists this ribosomal RNA (468 nucleotides) under uncultured bacterium. RNAcentral describes it as "partial 16S ribosomal RNA". It matches the Rfam family "Bacterial small subunit ribosomal RNA", at positions 28 to 507 of the family's 1533-position model. The record is from RNAcentral.